AGAAAAUGAAGACAUCUGUAGGAUCUGUCCUGGGACAGAAGGGGAAGAGAGAGCCCAGAGGCUGAGGCACAAGAAGGUCAGGACAGGAGCAUUUGAGAGAGGCAGCAGAGAGCUGGGUGAAAGUUGAGGAAUUUACUAUCAACCUUUUCUUGCAU
RNAcentral lists this small RNA (155 nucleotides) under Marmota monax (woodchuck). Lineage: Eukaryota; Metazoa; Chordata; Mammalia; Rodentia; Sciuridae. The record is from RNAcentral.